RNAcentral lists this long non-coding RNA (1310 nucleotides) under Helianthus annuus (common sunflower). Its description in RNAcentral is "hypothetical non coding rna". Lineage: Eukaryota; Viridiplantae; Streptophyta; Magnoliopsida; Asterales; Asteraceae. The record is from RNAcentral.
UUGAGAUAGAGCACAAUUACAGUCUCGCGAUCCCCAUCCACCCUUUAUGGACGGUUUCAUGAUCAUGUUCCCCACGUGAUAGGCAAUCCAUAACGGAUCCGGUUGGAGUGAAAAAAAUCCAAGUCCGUAGACCCGCGACCCGACCCGACCUGACCCAGAUGGAGAAAAUGUGGGUCAACAUAUUUCAGUCGGCUCGUUGGAAGAUUUUAGCAGUUAUGCAUGAUCACUCCAUGCAACCCCAUGUCCCCAUGUUUUGCUUAAAAAAGUACUAGAUUUGUUCGUGAGUAGUGGUAGGUUAUCACCAGUUUGUUUUAUAUUUUCUAUAUGUAUUUGGUAAAGGACAAUCAAUGAAGGCACUGAGUUUUAGAAUGAAUUUUUUCUUGUGUUAAUUAUCUCAUGUUUGUGGGUUAAUUAAUUCGUCUAUGCUAGCUCAACCGUGGCGCGUUGGGUGGUGAACUUAGACACGAUUCUCUAACCGUAGUGGUGUAUCUGUAUCUUCGGUUAGACGUCGCAGCCCUACCGUUUCGUUUGGUGGUGAAUCUGUAUCCAAACGAGCCGUAGAACUAUCUUAAAUUUUAUUGUUUGUUUUGAACCGGUGAUUCGAGGGUCAUACCCCUAUCACUUGGUAUUAGAGCUCGGCUCGUUUCCAUCUCGCUUCAUCCCGAUUCUCUACUCUGUAAAACACCCAAAAGAAAACCGGUUGCAGGUAUAAUUUUUUUGUUCUGAUCUUCAAAGGGCAGCCUUGGUUAACCACUUCAAAUGGUGGUUCGAAGAAUCCUCAACAGUUCAUUAGAUCACAAAGGAGAAUUUCAACGAGAGACUAUUUUCCAAACUCGAUGCACCGUAGCCGGAAAAGUGUGUACUAUGAUUGUCGAUGGAGGUUGUUGUACCAGCAUCGCUUCCCAAACUUUGGUUUCAAAAUUGAAGCUCGCAACUGUACCGCACCCAUCACCGUACAUUCUUGAGUGGCUCAAUGAGGGAGAAGGUAUUCUAGUCUCCAAUCGGGUCUUAUUAACAUUCAGUAUUGGUAACAUAUAUGUAGAUGAGAUUUGGUGUGAUGUAUUGCCCAUGGAUGUUUGUCAUGUGUUAUUAGGCAGGCCUUGGCUAUUUGAUAGAAGGGUAAUACAUGACGGGUUCAAGAACACAUACUCGUUUGUUCAUAACAAUCGAAAAAUUACCCUCACGCCAAUAACUCCCGCCAGAUCAGCCUUAAACGAAUUUCAACCUAUUAAAGAGCAGGUAGCAAUAACCGAUGAUGAUUGUGAUAAUGGCACGCCCAGGGAAGAUGGCUCAAAUAUUGAAUUUUUGGU